CAAAAAAAAAAACGUAAGUAACCUUUUGUUUCAGCCGCACACCCUGAAUGUCCUAUCUCCUCUCCCGAGACCCGACUUCUUCUCCAGUCACACGCAACACCACAGACCUCCCCUUUCACCUCCCGUCCCUUCUCUGUAAAUUCCAGUGACUAGGACGGAGCUCCGGCGAGCCGCAAGCACACCGGUAAUCCCUCACACCCACACUCUAUUCUCACUCUCUCUCUCUGACGACCUGUGGAGCCGGCAACUGCCGGUAAUCCGGCGAUAGUGGUGAACCGGAGAACGGCGGAUGACGGCAGUGGCUACUGUUCUUUCUCCGGCCGUUUUGUGAUGAAGGUGAUGAUGACGAUCGAUAGCGGCUGCGGAACGUAGAGGUGUUGUUCCGGUUCGGUCAGUAGGUUCAUGAAUGGACGUGGUUGACCAAAACGUUAAAACAAGUAAACUAUCUGCCGAGCAAAGCAAAGGUGAGUUCACUGCACUUUUCUAAGCAUGCGUCCCGGUGGUUUGGGACAUCUGGUAAACGUUUCUAAAGGGAAUACUGGGUAAACUGUUUAUUUGGGAUGUUGGUUAUUGAACACAGUAUAAAUCAUGUAAGACCCCAUACAUCUACCGUGUUGCUGAAGAAGCAACGAGGUAUUUAGUUGAUAGCGCUAUUAGGUUUGGCACCCUCACACCGGGCCGAAAGGACGGGCGUGAACUAAUUACCUGGACCUCAUGACCAAUGCCUAGUUAGAGGCAUUGGGGUUGGGCAUUCACAUCGUGUACAUAUAAGACCCCUUACAUCUAUUCAAGGUUGUUUGAUACCUUGACCUCAUGACCAAUGCUUAAAUGGAGGCAUUGGGGUUGGGCAUUCACAUCUAGUCGCCACAUACGGUAAUCGAGUAAUAACAACAUCAAAACAAAACGUUGAACUGCUCUAAACACACAUCUGGUAACUAAACGCGUUAACAAAACUUUGAACUCACCAGCGUCGUCUGACACACUUGUCUGCAUGCUUGCAGGUCGUUAGAUUGCUUGACAUGGACUUGCUAUCUGGGUGUGCUGGAGUGGUCAUGGAUCGAGACUCUUGGAUAAACAUAUAUUUGAUACAUUGGUUUUGAACACUCAUUAUGAAACAGUUGUUUAACGAUUACUAAAUGCUUCCGCUACACAACUCUUUUGGUUUAAUCUUAUGAUUGACAUUUACUAUUGGCAAUUAAUGAUAUGUUUUGU
Molecule: long non-coding RNA, 1212 nt
Filed under: Helianthus annuus (common sunflower)
Lineage: Eukaryota; Viridiplantae; Streptophyta; Magnoliopsida; Asterales; Asteraceae
Description: hypothetical non coding rna
Source: RNAcentral